RNAcentral lists this transfer RNA (76 nucleotides) under Alphaproteobacteria bacterium. RNAcentral describes it as "tRNA-Lys". It matches the Rfam family "tRNA". Rfam says of the family: Transfer RNA (tRNA) molecules are approximately 80 nucleotides in length. Their secondary structure includes four short double-helical elements and three loops (D, anti-codon, and T loops). RNAcentral also lists the same sequence under 1 other name. Lineage: Bacteria; Pseudomonadati; Pseudomonadota; Alphaproteobacteria. The record is from RNAcentral.
GGGUGAUUAGCUCAGUUGGUAGAGCAGCUGACUCUUAAUCAGCGGGCCGUGGGUUCGAAUCCCCCAUCACCCACCA